This 663-nucleotide ribosomal RNA is filed under the name uncultured bacterium. RNAcentral describes it as "bacterial SSU rRNA". It matches the Rfam family "Bacterial small subunit ribosomal RNA", at positions 258 to 916 of the family's 1533-position model. The record is from RNAcentral.
AAAGAUCCCAUGUUGGCAAUGAUGAGUAGCGGGCAAGGGAGGGAGUCCAACCUCAUAGCCAAGGAGAUUCGUCCCAGAUUCAUACGGGAGGCAGCAGCUAAGAAUAGUCUGCAGUGGACGAAAGUAAGCCGGAGUGACGACGCGUGGAUGAAGAAGGCUGAAAGGAGGUAAAAUUCUUAUGUUGGGGAAGAAUAACCACGGGAGGGAAUGCCCGCGGGAAGACAUGAACCGACGAAUAAGCCCCGGCUAACUACGUGCCAGCAGCCGCGGUAACACGUAGGGGGCGAGCGUUGUUCGGAAUUACUGGGCGUAAAGGGCAUGUAGGCGGUCUUGUAAGCUUGGCGUGAAAGACCACGGCUCAACCGUGGGAUUGCGUUGAGAACUGCGAGGCUUGAGUGACGGAGAGGGAGCUAGAAUUCCUGGUGUAGGGGUGGAAUCUGUAGAGAUCAGGAAGAAUACCAAUGGCGAAGGCAAGCUCCUGGCCGAUGACUGACGCUGAGGUGCGAAAGUGUGGGGAUCAAACAGGAUUAGAUACCCUGGUAGUCCACACUGUAAACGAUGUGCACUAGGUGCUGGUACGGAUGUAUCAGUGCCGUAGCUAACGUGAUAAGUGCACCGCCUUGGGAGUAUGCUCGCAAGGGUGAAACUCAAAGGAAUUGACGG